ACAAACGACCCCCACUCCAUUUCAUUUUUCAUUUCCCCAUCUUCUUCAACCCUAAUUAGAGCCACCACCCCCAAAUAACACCUCCCAGACCAUCGUCCUCUCCACGCCUCCCAACCCCGUCUUCUUCGUUUCCCCACCCAACAAAUGACCUCAACCAGUGGCGCCACAACUCCCUCCUCCAUCUCCAACCACGAACCAGACGACUCCACCCAGCCUCGUCGCCGAACAGCCACCAAAUUCGCGGCGUGUUCAGCCUGAAAAUCACGCACACACACACGUAAACAUAGGGAGAGAACAAGAGCGAAAGAGAUGAACUAAUUUUCUCAUCUCUAAUCCACAUAGAGGAAACGGACAGAAACAGGGGCAGGGUUAGCAUUUCUCUUUGCUUUAUGGAUUGUUUACGUUGCUUUAACCUUGCCGCGAGACUAGCUUGUGCGUUCACUAGUGACGAGAUGGAGUUUGUUUGAGUCAAAGUUGAAUUUGCUAAUUUUGAGUCGCUGUCGAGGUUCGGAGUCACAUUUCGCAGAAUCGUUAUUUCCGGUUUGAGGUCCGUGUUGCAUCUGUGGUUCAAAUUUCAGUUAUGUCACUUGUUGUAGCCAUGUUGGCGUCCAGAAGUUGUGAAGUUGAAAACUCUCAUUAAUUGGCAACACUAGGUUCAAUUCUUUCCUAUCUCUUUUAAUUUCAUAUACAUGGUUUUGAUGAUUGAGUUGAUAUGGUUUAAUUUGUGCAUAAGUUUGAAUCUGUAUAGCAAUAGAUGGGUUUUGGUUGCUCUGUAAAGGAAAAUGUCCUCUUCUUACUUUACUGUCAUGUUGUAAAUAUGGAUGUUUACCUUAUAGUGCAAAGGUAGAAUUGCAAUCUUCAUGUUCUAAUUGAUUUAGGAAAAUCAAGUUAGAUACCGUAAAGAUAAGACUUGCGCCAUUAGUAUUCCAAAUGAUAUUCAAAUUAAGUUGCUGGCCAAAUACUUGUUAUAGGAAAUGUUGGAGUAUUUUAUGUCUUUUCCUAGAACAUGUUUUCUGGACAGUUUACACCCUUACUGCACAAAUGCUGGUGGAUUAAAUGUAGUUAAAAAGCUGCAGUUAUAGAUUUUUUUUUCUUUCGUAGUUGCUCUCUGCGGAUUUGAAGUUGUUCAUUUAGCUAUUUGCCCGUAUGUUUGCUCGAAUUAGUUAUAGCUGGACAUAAUGGUUUGUUAUUCAUCAACUGAUUUUUAAUAACAACACUAGGAUAGUGUGUCACUAAUUCAGCAAGUAGACAAUUAAAAAAUGGAAAAGGAGAUUGGUAAUGGAAGUUGCACUAACUAAUUAAUUAAUAAGGGAAGGGACACUUGUAAUGAGAAAGGCACUGGUUGAUUUUAGGGGAUUGAAAUGGGCAUUAGUAGUAAAAUAAGAAGGCACUAGGGUAGUGGGGUAAUUAAAAACUGAAAAGAUAAGUUGUUAGUGGCAAAUGCACUAAUGGAAUGCCCACUUUAGAGAGCUGGAAAUCAGAAUAAAAGGGAGGUAGAACACAAGAAAGAGGAGGAUCUGAAAUUGUAAGAAAAAAAACCUCAAAAAUAGAGAGGUCAAGGGAGCUUAACAAUCUGACGGAGAGCAAUAGAGAGGGACAACCUUGUACAGUUUGAAAACCUGAGUGAGGAAGUUGAGAAAUCCAGAAGAAAUGAUAUAAAAGUAUAGAAAACUGUAUUGUUGGUUUAAGUUUGAUCGUCUGAUCUCUCUUAACUCACUCUUCUUGAACUAUUUUCAUCAAUUUGAAGAGCUAAAUUUAGUUUGCAUUCAAGUAAUUGGACCCUGCUUGGUGUGGUUUUGUUGAUUGUGUUCCAUUGAUAUACUAUUGGUUCUAAAUUGUGAGUUUUAAGUUGGUCCUCUUUAGUCAUUUGUGCUUGCUGAACACUGAUUCUUGUUGCUGCUGAGUCUGCUAAAUCUCACCCCCCCCCUAUUUGUUUUCCUCUUUCCAGGUAUAUCUUGAUCUUAUGGAUAUCAUUUGAGGUAUAAACUUGAAUCAUGAAUUAAGAAUGAGAAAGCUAGUCUACACCCUUUCUUCUUUUAAUAUACUAUCACUGUGUUCUUUUGAGUUUUCAAUUAGUAUAUUCUGCCCAAAAGAGGGUUUGUAAUUAAGAGUUAAAUCACAUAGUUUUGUGUAAUUACUUUCCUCUUUAUUGUGACUGUUGGACGCUGUAGCUAUUCUAUAAACUCGUUGUUUUAGAGUUUUGUUCAAUCAAGUAUUCUGCUUAAAUCUUAUGAGUUUAGGAAAUGAAUGAAUAUUUUCAUGAUGGUAUGAUUGUUGUAGUGAAGUUAAGUUGUGGUUUAUGGUUUCAUUUCAUUUUCUUGUUAAUGGAUUUAUCAUGCUAUCCAUGGGUCUCCCUCUUUUAAUUUUAUUUGGUCUAAUAUUGCUUGUUUGUUGCAUUGAAGUACCGCAUCCAAGGUGAAAAGAAUGACUUUUUCCUAUAUAUUUUUUAUUUGACUAGUACAUGAGAUUUAAUAUUUUCAAGAAAUAUUUAAAUAUUGAUGGCAUGAAUUUCAGUGGACAAAACUCACUUCUCACCAUUGUAAACCGAUAUAUUUUCAUGGCAACCACAAGAAUCUGUUCUCAUGUGAAAAAAGGGAUUGGCAAAACUAAGAAGAAAGAAAGGAUUGAAGUUGUAUAGAGGUGAUUAAAAGCCUAGUCUCAUUUCUUUCUAUUUUUGGGUCAAAAAUAGUACGUACCAACUACUAGAAGAUUUUGUAUAUUAAUUUUUCUUUUAUUUUUAUUUUUUGACAUAUAACUUAGUUUAAUCCCAAUAAAAGCUUUUUCUUCCACUAAAAAAAACCCUUAUUCCCAAGCCGCUUUAUUAAGAUUGGGUAAGUAUUUUAUGCAAUACUAUAUAGAGUGUGCCGAUUUUGUUUAGAUGAUGGUCCGAAUUCGUCUAUUUAUUCUGACCAGAUAAAGAUUAUUGCAUGAAAUAUCUUGCACCAUAUUUGCUUAAACGAAUCAUGUAUUGCUUAGGCAAGGAGCAAAUCAUGAAUAUCGUAGUUUGCUCGAGGCGCGCCAUACUAAUUAAGAAAUAACGAAAUCUUGGCCCUCGUUUUUAGUCAAAGUGUCGUUUAAUCCUUAGAAUUUGAGGUGUGUCAUUUAGUAAAUUUCAUGACCCUCGUAAAUUGCAAACGUGUUAGUAUCAUUAGGCGCGUUUUUAAUAAUAUUACUUUCCUAAACUUGGGUGCGCAUUUAUGCGACCUAAAUCCAAAUCUCAACGGAGUCGAAACGUAUUAACAACCACGAGUACAUUGAUUGUGAUGUGGUUCGAGAUGCAUUUUUACGACGUUGCAAUUCUAUUAAAAAUAAUAAUAAAAGCGGUUUAAACUUAAUAAAAGCACACAAGAUAUAACGUGUAUAAAAAUCAGAUAUUUAGCCAUUACAACAAUUUAAGCGACCGUGCUAGAACCACGGGAUUCGGGGGUGCCUAACACCUUCCCUCGGGUCAACAGAAUUCCUUACUUAGAAUUUCUGGUUCGCAGACUUCAUUCGGAAAGUCGAAUAUUUUUCUCAAAUUGGGAUUCAAGAUAAACCGGCGAAUUGGGACACUAAAAGCCAAACCUUUCCCAAGUGGCGACUCUGAAAAAAAUAAAUAAUCCCAUUUUCGAAUAAUAUCACUUAAAUUGAAAAAACUCUCUUAUAUCACCCUCGGGUGUGUAAAAAGGAGGUGUGACCCUUUUUUAUCUCUCUCUGCUCCAAAAAUCCUUCAGCAAGCGAUAAAACUUCCAAAUUACGGACGGGAAUUGCUUCGUCCUUUGGAAAACUCGCAAGGUGAAUCAAGCACGACUUUAAGGGAUCAGGUAUUUCAUAACUUAAUGCUAUAAUCUUCAUCACGUCCUCUUCUUUCUGGAAAAUAAAGGAAUUCAAAUUAUUUCGAACUUCAACCCAUACACUCCUUUUCUUUUCCUUCCCUGCAAUGACUCCAGCAAUCAAAUCAACCACCAAAGGAAGCCGUUUACAGUUUUGGACUAUCUCUUCUCCAACAUCCAGUAGUUCAUCAGGGCAACUUUCUUUUCCAAAGACCUUUUUCUCUAAUAACUCCCAACUUUCUUCUAGGUUUAGCAAUCGAAGGUCAAUAGGAUCACUGUGGCGUUGUGCAUGCACAGCCACUUUCUUUUCUCGAGUCGUCAAAAUAAUUCGACUUCCUUUCUCAACUCCAGGAAAAGGCCUUGUCAACUCAUCCCAUGCUGUAGUGUCCCACAAAUCAUCUAAGACUAUAAGGUACCUCUUUCCAAACAAAUGUUUCCGUAGCUUAUCAGCAACAUCAAUAUUCUCACCGAAUUUCAAAGCUGAGCCAACAACUUGAUUAAAAAGUUUUUCCAGUAACGCCAUCUCGUCAUACUUUUGAUCGACUGUACACCAUGCACGGAUGUCAAAAUGACUAGAAACUGACUUAUCAUUAUACACUUUGUACGCUCCAUGUAGUUUUACCCGAACCGGGCAUGCCAGUGAUCGAAAUGACAUCUAGCGUUUUUUGUCCACUGGUGAGCUUCCUAAUUAUCAAGGAUGUCUCCUCUUUAAAACCUACGAUUAUUUUACUAGGUAUUGAUGACUUGCGCUCAACUAGCUUGUUGGGAGAGUUCACAACAAUGACGCCCAUGUUCUCGGGAUUCUUCUCAAAUAAAUUUAAGACCCCUUCUUUGAUAAGAUUGAUCUUUUCUAAGGAAAAGGAAAGUGAGAAAAUAAGAUGUAAGAGACCAUUGUCUCUUACAAUAAUUGAAUCAAUGACAUAUUUUGUCUCAUAUGCCACAUCUAAAACACGUGCCCAGAGAUCUUUAUAGAAUUCCUGCUCAACAUUCUCGAAGAAAGAUCUUAUGAAUUCUAGAUUUUCUUUCACCAGCCCGAUUUCUUCCUUUAUCAAAUCAACUAAAUAAGUAUUGGAAUUGAGCAAAUCAUUUAAGUGUCUAAGUAGAAGAUGCAUGAACAUGGAUCCAUCACUCAUGGGAAAGCAGAGUUGAGAUGAGUUCGGGGCUUUCAAGUAAACAUCUUUGAGUUCUCUCUUCAGGAGUUCAAUAUUUUUGAGAAAGACUAGAGUUGCACCGUUUGUUUCAUUGGUACUCUUUGCAUUCUUUGAUUUCUCUUCUAAGUCGCGACCAAUAGCUGAUACGUCCCAGGUAAGUGCUCCGACACGCGCUAGGAAUUUAAACAACUUGCCAUUAUGAAUAAAGUCCUUAGGCACAUCAGUGAGAAUGAUUAAUAGGAACUCUAUCAUGAUAUGAAUGUUUCGAGCCCCUAGAGUGUUAGCGGUAAUAACAUUUAUCAAGUGCUCUUGUAGAUGAAUCAUAUAUUCUUUAAGAAUAUCCGGAGAGGUUUUUAGGAGCUUCUUAAUAAAGUGUCCAACUUUUGAUGAUGUUGAAGCUUUCAAAUUUGUAAGACAUAUUUGCAUAACCUCCAGCUGAGUUGGAAUAAUCUCCAAGAAUAGAUGUGCUAGCUUGACGAGUCGAAAGUGUCCACCAAUUUGAUUAUGUCAUAGGAAGCGUCGUACUCUCUCAGCCAUUAGUUGAAACUGAGGUAAGACAUAUUCAAAAAUUCAUUCCCAACACAACCAUUCACUAUCAACUCGUAGAAAUGUCUUAUGCUGCCACAUGCAUUCUGAAGAAUCUCAUAUUCUAUCAUGAAUGGAGAACGUUGUUCAGCAUGAUACUUGGAAAGAUGAUGGAGAUUCAGAAGGAGGAAGUCCAACUCCAAUAUCAGCUUUUCAGUUAGAUCCACGUCAACGGCUUU
RNAcentral lists this long non-coding RNA (5727 nucleotides) under Nicotiana tabacum (common tobacco). RNAcentral's name for it is "long non-coding RNA (NTAB_LNC003356)". The record is from RNAcentral. Lineage: Eukaryota; Viridiplantae; Streptophyta; Magnoliopsida; Solanales; Solanaceae.